UUCCUACGGGGGGCAGCAGUGGGGAAUAUUGCACAAUGGGGGAAACCCUGAUGCAGCAACGCCGCGUGAGUGAAGAAGGUUUUCGGAUUGUAAAGCUCUGUUAGCAGGGAAGAGGAAGGACGGUACCUGCAGAGGAAGCCACGGCUAACUACGUGCCAGCAGCCGCGGUAAUACGUAGGUGGCAAGCGUUAUCCGGAUUUAUUGGGUUUAAAGGGUGCGUAGGCGGAAUGCCAAGUCAGCGGUAAAAUCGCGGGGCUCAACCUCGCUCCGCCGUUGAAACUGGCGUUCUUGAGUGGGCGAGAAGU
Molecule: ribosomal RNA, 305 nt
Filed under: uncultured bacterium
Lineage: Bacteria
Description: bacterial SSU rRNA
Rfam family: Bacterial small subunit ribosomal RNA
Source: RNAcentral